Molecule: ribosomal RNA, 380 nt
Filed under: uncultured eukaryote
Lineage: Eukaryota
Description: partial 18S ribosomal RNA
Rfam family: Eukaryotic small subunit ribosomal RNA
Source: RNAcentral
CAAUAGCGUAUAUUAAAGUUGUUGCGGUUAAAAAGCUCGUAGUUGGAUUUCUGCUGAGGAUGACCGGUCCGCCCUCUGGGCAGGUAUCUGGCUCAGCCUUGGCAUCUUCCUGAAGAACGCAGCUGCACUUGACUGUGUGGUGCGGUAUUUAGGACAUUUACUUUGAGGAAAUUAGAGUGUUUCAAGCAAGCGCACGCCUUGAAUACAUUAGCAUGGAAUAAUAAGAUAGGACCUCGGUUCUAUUUUGUUGGUUUCUAGAACUGAGGUAAUGAUUGAUAGGGAUAGUUGGGGGCAUUCGUAUUUAACUGUCAGAGGUGAAAUUCUCGGAUUUGUUAAAGACGGACUACUGCGAAAGCAUUUGCCAAGGAUGUUUUCAUUGA